This 20203-nucleotide long non-coding RNA is filed under the name Triticum aestivum (bread wheat). RNAcentral describes it as "long non-coding RNA (TAES_LNC002187)". Lineage: Eukaryota; Viridiplantae; Streptophyta; Magnoliopsida; Poales; Poaceae. The record is from RNAcentral.
UUUUUUUUUUUUGUGACGAGCUCAUCAAACGUCCAAACACUUUGAAAUUUUGCACGCACCUAGAAGAUUCUCUGAACUUUCAUGUGUAAAAAUUUCAGAUAUUUUUGAAUUUAUUGCUAUUUUUUUGAAUUUAUUGUUCAUCGGGAGUAGAUGAGCCUGGGCACCGUUUUGAAUUAUCGGUAUAAUAUGAACUUCUUCUGAAAAAACGUCCAUGUGUCUAGCUUCAUACAUUGCUCGCACCUAUAGAGAAGUUAAAUUCUAUUGAGCUACCAACAUAUGGUGCUUAGCACUUUUCUUGGUAACGAGCUUGAGGCGGCCUGUGAAACCUUCGUUUUUCCCCUAAGAGCAUCUCCAAUAGAAAAUUUAGAUGUAAAAACAGCUAACUUUUAAAUCCCCGAGGCCUAAAAACUCAUCUCCAACAGAUCAUAUAGAUGUAAAACAAUUUACAUCACCUCCUCUAAGUGAUGUAAAAUACAAAACUUGAAGAUGAAAAUUUGCAUCACCAACCGCCUGGUGAUGUAUAUAGCCCACCUCGUCGCCGCUGGUCCUGUUGCAUUUUGCCUCNNNNNNNNNNNNNNNNNNNNNNNNNNNNNNNNNNNNNNNNNNNNNNNNNNNNNNNNNNNNNNNNNNNNNNNNNNNNNNNNNNNNNNNNNNNNNNNNNNNNNNNNNNNNNNNNNNNNNNNNNNNNNNNNNNNNNNNNNNNNNNNNNNNNNNNNNNNNNNNNNNNNNNNNNNNNNNNNNNNNNNNNNNNNNNNNNNNNNNNNNNNNNNNNNNNNNNNNNNNNNNNNNNNNNNNNNNNNNNNNNNNNNNNNNNNNNNNNNNNNNNNNNNNNNNNNNNNNNNNNNNNNNCCCCAUAGCAACAUGCCGAGCGCUGCCGCCCCACCCCGCCUCAGUUGAAGCUCCCCCGCCGCCCGAUCCGAGUUUCACCUGCGUGUUUCGAGCUCUGCCGCCGCCCCGCCCCGCUCCUUGUCUCGAUUUGAAGCUCGGCCGCCUGAUUCAAGCUCCGCCGUCGGCGCCCGUCUCAGCUCGACGCUCAGCCGCCGCCAUGCUGCCGAAGAAAGUGUCGAAGAGCAAGACCGGCUUCUUAGGGGUGCGGAAGAAGCCGUCUGAGAACUUCGGUGUGGAGUUCCAGUGCGAUGGCUAUCGCUACUGGAUCGGCACGUUUGACUUCGUCAACAUGCCCGCGCGUGCGUACGAAAUCGCCAUGUGGCGUUUCUGACGGCCGAGGCGCGAGAUGAACUUUCCGGAGAUCGAGACUCAGGUAGACACGGAGCUAAUUGGGCCGGAGAAUCACAAUAUUUGGCGGAUGGACGAGAAUGAGGAGAAGAAGAACAAGAAGAAGCCAGUGAUUAUCGUUGCUCCCGGCAAUAGUGACGAGGCGGCAAAGGCGAGAUUCACGCGGGAGCAUCCGGAGUAUGUCCAGACCGAGCACGAGUUCUCUAGGAAGCGUGAGGCCGAGCAGCAAAAGAAGGCGGUGAGGAAGGAUGUGGAGGAGGCCGGCGCCUCGGCGGUGAUCCCCGUCUAGUCCGACUCGUCGGACUGGGAUGACUCGGAGGAGGACGAGUGCGACAACCCCAAGAAGAAGGUGUUCUGGGAGCAGUUCAAGAGCGACGGCGAGUAGGCUCGGAGUAGUAGUAGUUUGAUGCAUGUAGUAAUUUGAAGUAUGUUUAAUUAUGUUUAAUAACUAUGUUUGCUUCAAAUGAACUUGCUAUAUUUAAAGUUAUGUUUGGAAUAAUAUAGUAGUUGUACUAGUUUUACAUCUUCAAAUACAUCAUUUGGUGGAGUAGUAGUUUUACAUCACCAAAUAUACACAUCUCUUGAAGUUAGGACUUUUUAAAGAUGUAUAAAAAGAACUUUUUGUUGAUGUAAAUUAUACAUCACUUGCUUUUACAUCUUCUAAUGAAGAUGCUCUAAUGCUCCAAAUGCCCCUUCCGAAACAUACUCGCUUCGUCUCAAGUGUCAAAAAAAUGUCUUACACUUUGAGGCAAAGGGAGUAUUUGAAUGUGCAGUAGGACAAGAAGAUUGCAGAGAGGACCCUCGAGAACACAAGGCGACGAUGUUGCUGCAGUUCAGUUCUUGCUUCGCUGAUGAAUGAUGAUUGUGUUUGGUGUGUAAACAAUGCCGGGCGAAAGUCUUCCCUUCUAAUCUCAAGCUCAAGAGCUCCUGCUAUGAACAGUAAAAGUCUGAUUUUUUUACGACCAACACUGCUUAGUUUUCUAUGUGCAUGCAAAUUUCGUGAUGAAAUUACAUUCGUGGAGGUUUAGAAUUCUUUUCGCAAAAUCAGCAACUCAAAACGCUUUCAAAAAUAUUCUUUCUGGAGCAUUGAUUUUUCUUUUGACAGAGUAUUAGCAAUGUUAUUUUUUUCACAAAAUCAGCACUUUAGUAGUGAUCUAAACACUCUUAUAUUUCUUUACAGAGGGAGUAGAAUAUUCACCGAUGUUUGCUGGCAAAGAAAUCAUGUUUUUUAUUUUUUGUGUUACUGUUUGUUUCAAUUUAAUUGUUCACGAGGGUACAUGCAGAACUUAUAUUUCUACGAUGCUGCAAAGUGGUUUCAGUUCCCUUAAAAGUUGAAAAUUUUAGUCAGGAGGUCAUUGAUGUUUAUAUGCAAACAAUCCAUGUGCCUUCAUGAGAUGCUUGGUUCAUUUGGAGAUCCAGAUGAAAUUUUCGCGAGAGCAAUGACAGUGACGAUAAUCGAACCAGUUUGGGUUGCAGUAUUACUACUGAUUUUGCGAAAAGCAUUAUAAUACUCCUGUACAAAUACUACAAUUUGCAGUCAUUGAAGAAAUCAAUGAAAUUUUGUAGAAAAAAAAGGAGAAAAUAAGGAAAAGAAUGUUGAAUCAGAGCUGCCGAGGAGCAGGAUGGAGCUCAGCGGAGCGGUCGAGCUCGGCGAGCAUGGCCACCCGGUCCAUCUCGUACCCACACACGUCCAUGUCCCCGUCGCCGUCCCCCGACCAGUCCACCCUGCCCACCCGCAUCGUCUCCACGUCCACCGCGUACACCUGCGUCCUGCCGCCCCUGUUCCUCGCCGUGAAGAGCGCCACGCCGCUCUUCUCGCAGAACCACCUCAACCUCACCGCCUGCAGGCCCAUGAGCUCCGUGUUCAGCGUCCACCGCCACUCCUUCCUCCCCGACACGCCGCCGUUCCUCACCGCGUCGGCGUAGACGACCACGUAGGCGCGCACCGCGUCGGCCUUGCACUCCAGCACGCACAGCCUCCCGUCCGGCAUCAGCCCCAGCAGCCGGUCCACCUCGCUGCCGAGGGAGGCCUUGGCGCGGCGCGGCGGCGACUCGAAGGCCUGCACGGUGUAGCCAAAGCUGGACGUGUGCAGCGUGGCCGGGUUGACGGCGAUGCCGAGCCCGUACCAGCAGACGGCGCCGCCCCGCACCAGCGUCGCGUGCGCCCUGACGCCCAGCUGCCGCCCCCUCGCGAUCCGGGCGCCGGUCACCUCCACCUCCGGGCCCCAGCUGCCGUCCUCCGAGGAGUAGCGCCGGAGCGCCGUGUAGCUGCGGUGGUUGUAGAGGAGCAGCACGCGGUACGAGGACGAGGACGUGGACGUGGCCGCGCAUGCGUCGUACAGGUGGAGCCCGUCGUCGGCGGUGAGCAGGGCGCACGCGUACGGCCCCGGGCGGUCCUUGCCGGUCAGGGGCGGGAGCAGGUCGGCGUCGCCGGUCAUGGGGUCGCACACGCAGAGCCGCAGCACGCAGGCGCUCUUGGCGCGGCGGAGGUCCAUCACGACGCGGCCGUUGCGGGACGCGACGACGCGCGACGACGAGCCCGGCACGCCGCCGUCGGUGAUCGAGAGGUCGGGCUUCGUGAAGGGCACGAAGCCGUCGCCGUGCAGGAAGACGCCGACCGCGAGGCGGCGGGCGAAGCGGUCGCAGCGCGGGGGGCCGCGGCGGCAGAUGAAGGCGGCGUCGGAGGAGACGAGGCGGCGCCAGCGCCUGCAAGCGGCAGCGCAGCGGACGAGGUCCCCGGCGUCGGAGAGGGCGGAGAAGACGAGGAGCAGGGUCUCGUCGCACAGGGGCAGCGCCUGGUCGCCGUGCUCGGGCCCGUGCCGCUUGAACGGCCUGCGGCGGGCGGCGAGCCACCCUCUGCUCCCGCCUGCGGAGGGAUCCGUCCCUGCGGCGGUGGCCGGGCGUCGGCGGCGGCCGCAGCGGCGACGUGGCGGCCGUGACGGCGGCAUGAUGAUCGGCCGGUUGGGAUUUGGGGGAGAUCGAGCAAGGGUUUAGGGGGGCGUGUUUACAGAGGUAAUCGCCCAGAUCCGUAAAGGAAGAUCGCCAGAUUUUCCGUCUCAUGGGCCAGUUGGAUCUCCGUUUCACGUCAGAGAAAAAAAAGGACAAAGAAUCGAUGGGCCUGCCUGCCAAUGAUGAAGGCCCAUUGUGGCGUCCCAGCGGCCAGUGGCUGCUUGGUCCUCACUGGCCUAAAAAACACAAAAAAUGCCUCACUGCACUCAUCUCCAUCGCAAGUUCUCAACAACCUCCUCCUUCGCUCACAUUGCCAAAAUGCGUUUGAAAAUAAUAUUUUUGGAGCAUCGGUUUUGUUUUUUUGCCACAUUUUACACAAAUUUCAUCUGGCGAUGAAAUUUUGCAAGCUAUCAAAACAUUUGUCAAAGUUUCAUACAAAAAAAAUCAGAAUUUUCUAAAUUGUUAUCUUUUUAAUUUUAUUGUUCACCCAAGCUCACGUAAGCACGGGAUCAUAACAGCUGCAUAUGGAGAAAGAGGAAUACCAUCCCCUGAUUAUAGCAUGGUUAAUAGUAUAAUCAACUGCUAGUUAUAUGAUGUUGUAUCAUCACUUAUAGUCACUCAUACAACAAGUUUGGCUACAAGAGUAGUACUUCUUUUCACCUUCUUUCUAUCUCUUUCUUCAUAUGUAUUGUAUUUGCGUAGAAGUACGCAUAUAGUUAACUCUUGCAUGAGAACCAUUUCCGUCAUCUUCUAAUGUCUCUGUCCUUCAUAUAGGCAAAAAUGACCUAUAAGCGGGCUAUAAGCCCGACCUGUAAUUGCUUUGAUUAGAGUACAACUCUAACUCGUCAACUUAGGCACACCCCUUUUUCCCUAAAAAAAAGAAUAAGGAAAUUACCCUUCUCGAUCAUGUGCGAUGUUUUAUCCCUUCUUCCCCCAUGAUAAUUCUUACUAGCAUCCACGAAGUAAAUGGAUUUUAUCAAAAAAUUGAAGUAAAUGGAUUUUUAAAGAAGAGUAAUUAAGAUGUAGCAAAAAUUAUGCCUCGACUCGUCCAGAACAUGUUUCGAGAGUGUGUGCUAACCAAUCAACAGGACUUGGAAGCCGAUGUCCCCAUCGCAAAAAUUAUUUGAGAGCAUAAAGAAAGAAAUGUGCGCUGUUGGAUGAAUGAGCAACUAGUAUUCACUGAGGGCCAGAGGCCAGUACAUAUACAUGUGUGGCAAAGUGCAGAGAACCCCCUAUACAUUAGGGAUAUACAGACAAGAGACUAUACACAUCUAACACCCCCCCCCCCUCAAACUCAUAGUGGAUCAACAACACUGAGUUUGGAGAAAAGAAAGCUAUGUUGCGCUCGAGUUUGUGCCUUCGUGAAGAAGUCCGUCAAUUGUAACCCAGAGGGCACAUGAAGAGCAAGAAUCUAAUCUUGCACAGCAGCACGCACAAAGUGGGCAUCCACGCCGAUGUGCUUGGUGAGCUCAUGCUUCACCGGGCCACGCGCAAUACUGAUAACACCGGUACCGUCAGACAGUAAUGGAGUGGAAGUAGAAGCAGCCACACCAAAAUCCUCAAGUAACCAUCGUAACCAGAUCACCUCAGCCAUCAACAUAGCCAUUGCUCGCAACUCAGCCUCGGUGCUCGAGCGAGAAACUGCAGUCUGUUUCUUGAUCUUCCAGGCAAUAAGAGAGCCUCCAAGAAAGACACAGUAAGCAGACAGCGAGUGUCGAUCUGAGGGAUCACUAGCCCGAGUAGCAUCGGAGUAGGCCUGGAGCUCGAGAGAACUGGAGCGAGGGGAAAAGGCGAUGAGAGAUCGUGCCACGAAGAUAUCGUAGAACACGGAGGAGAUGACUAUAGUGGAUAGAGGUGGGGGCUGCAAGAAACUGACUCAGGAUGUGAACAGGAUGGGAUAUGUCAGGACGUGUAACAGCAAGAUAGACAAGGCUGCUAAUGAGGUGACGAUAGCGAGUGGGAUUAGGAAGAGGAUCACCAUCAGAGGCACGUAGCUGAAUGUUGAGGAGUCACAACAGUGCGCUCAUCACCGAGAGCGGCGCGGGCAAGAAGAUCCUGAAUAUAUUUUUCCUGAGAGAUGUAGAAGCCAUCAGAGGUCGAGGAGAUCUCAAUCCCAAGAAAAUAGCGAAGUAGACCAAGAUCGGACAUGAGAAACUGGUUGUGAAGGCGAGCCUUGACAAAGGCAAUAUAGUCAGAGUCGUCACCAGUGAUGAUCAUGUCAUCAACAUAGAGAAGGAGAAGAGUCUGACCACGAGAAGACGUGUGAACAAACAAUGUGGGAUCAUGGUCACUGGGCAAAAAGCCAGCGGCAGUCACCAUAGAGGCGAAGCUCUCAAACCAGGCGCGAGGGGCCUGUUUAAGACCAUAGAGGAAGCGGCGAAGGCGACAGACCAUGCCAUCAGGAGCAUAGUACCCCGGUGGUGGCUACAUAUACACCUCCCCACGUAACUCGCCAUUGAGAAAGGCGUUCUGGACAUCAAGUUGAGAGAUGGACCAAUUGCGAACAGAAGCCACAACAAGGAGAGUGCGGACAGUGGUCAUGUGAGCCACAGGAGCGAAUGUCUCAUCAUAAUCGCGUCCUUGCUCCUGCUGGAAACCACGGGCCACAAGACGAGCUUUGUAGCGCUCAAGAGAACCAUCGGAGCGAGUCUUAACUUUGUAGACCCACUUGCAAGUGAUGGGACGAACACCAGAAGGAGGAGAAACCAGAUCCCACGUGCCAUUGUGCUCAAGCGCCGCAAGCUCCUCGACCAUCACAAGCUACCAUUCAGGGUGAGUCAUGCCGGCCCGAUAGGUGGUGGGCUCAGCAAUGGCAGAAAGACCAUACCGGUCAGGAGAAUAGCGAUCAGGAGGAGGACAAGGCCUAACACGAAGGUUAUGGACCGACGUAGGCGUGAGAGGUGGUGCACCAAAAGUAGAGGCACAUCAGUAGGAUCAGCGCUAGCACGAGGACGACGAGUGUAGUAGUGAGGAAAAGGGGAGUGUGGGUGAAAGACUGGAGAGGAAGGUGGGGAGGGAGAUGAGGAGGAGGGAGGGGAUGGUGGUACCGGUGGUGUAGGGAGACUCCUCUGGGAGAGGGUAGAACAGAGGGCACAGAGGGAGAUGUGUCGGGAAGGAGAAGGAAGGAAAUAUCUUCCACGGAAAAGCUCGAGGAGGAGGGACGCGGAUAGUAAAAACGAGACUCAUCAAAAGUCACAUCACGCGAAAUGCGCAGUCGGCGACCAACAGGAUCCCAACAGCGAUAGCCCUUGUGCUCAUCACUAUAGCCAAGGAAAACACACUCAACUGGCUGAGCAGUCAACUUGGUUCGUUCUCGUGGAGCAAGAAGAACAUAGCACACGCACCCAAACAUACGAAGAGCGGAGUAGUCAGGAGAGCGAUCAGAGAGAUGCUCCAUAGGAAUACCACCCUUCAAGGCAACCGAUGGCUGAAUGUUGAUGAGGUGUGUGGAUGCGGAUACUGCCUCAGCCCAAAAAUGAGGUGGAAGAGAGGCGGCGAUCAUCAUUGCCCGAGCCGUCUCAAGCAAAUGGCGAUGUUUGCGUUCAGCAACGCCAUUCUGAGCAUGGGCACCAGGGCAAGAGAAUUGGGCAAGAGUGCCCUGCUCUGCAAGAAAACCACGCAACAUGUGAGAGAUAUACUCUCCAGAUGAGCCAGCACGGAAGAUACGGACAGACGUGGAAAAUUGAGUGCGAACAAUGGCAGCAAAACGCUUGUAUAUGGGGAGAACCUCGCUGCGAGAUUUCAUACAGUAAAGCCAAGUGUAGCGAGAGAAAUCAUCAAUAAAUAGAACAUAGUAGCGAUGACCCCCUUUCGAGUCAAAAGGAGCAGGACCCCAUACAACAGAAUGAACUAAGUCAAAAGGACGCUGAGAUACAGACUCACUGGUAGGAUAAGGUAACUGGGUCUGUUUGUCAAGCCUACAACCAUCACAAUGCAACGAAACAUCACCAGAGACAGACCCUAAGAUGCCUUGGUGUACUAAUGAGGAUAAGCGAGAGCCACAGAUGUGACCAAGUCGAUGAUGCCACUGCUGGAAGGACACAAAAGAGGAGGCAGCAAGAGCAUGGGAGCUGGCGUAUGUGGUAGCAGCGGAAGGAACACGAAGCCAGUCAACCUCCCAAAGGCCCUCAGACUCACGGCGCCGAGGGCCAGCGCCAACCAGAGCCUGAGUGCGACGAUCCUGAACAGAACAAGAGUCAGCAUCAAGAAUGACACGACAACCAGAAUCAGUAAGUUGGGCAGCGGAAAAGAGAUUCAUGGUAAGACGAGGAACAUGAGAAACACUAGGAACCGAGAAAGAUGGAGUGGAAAGGAUGCCAUGACUAGCAGCAGGAAGAGGUGUGCCAUCGGCCGUGAAAACAUUAAGAGGAAAACCAGGAGGACGAAGAGAAGAUAAAACAGAAGAAUCAGAAGACAUAUGAAAAGAAGCUCCAGAAUCCAGAACUCACGAGGAUGUACCUGUCUGAGUAGGCUCCAGCGGGGGCAGAGUGGUGGUGGCUGUCACGACGGCAACAGAACCCGUCAAGGAAGAACCGGAUGAUGCCAACAUGCGCUUGAGCCGCAGAAUAUCCUGGUCAGUAAGCGACGCAGUCGAGGAAGACGCACGAGUCCCACUAGAUGAAGAGCGCUUCAGGUCUCUCCGCUUCUUGUGACAAUCUGAUUCUGGGUGACCUGGCCUGUUGCAGUAGCCACAGAAGGUGUGCGAGCACGACCGACCCUCUCCUGAAGGAGGGUGAAACGCCCCCCUGGAGGUGUGGGCAGGAGCGGUGGAGUAGUGAGGUGAGCAGACAACACAAGAGCUUGGGCAGCAAGAACAGUGGGAACCACAAGCAGAUCAGCGGACCGAAGAUGUGUCUCCUCAGCACGAAGCUCGGCAAGCACCUCCGAAAUAGGAACACGACCACGAGCAAGCAGGUGAGCACGCCGAGGCUCAAACUUUGAGCGAAGGCGAGGUAGGAACUCGUGGAGACGAUGAAACUCCAAGUCUGACCGCACAGUCUGACAACAGCGGCAAGUACCACAAACCACAGUCUGGAGAGAGUCAAGCUGACGCCAGAUGGCAGAGCUCUGGGAGUAGAACUCAUCAAUAGAAGAGUCACCCUGCUGCAGAGCAUGCUCCUGACGCACCACAGAUAGGUAGAGAGCAUCACCAGAUGGCUGAUAUCGGUGACAAAGAUAGGUCCGCAUCGCAGCAACAGUACCAAGACCCAUGAACUCAGACGCAGACUGGGGUAAGACACUCGCAGUGAGAACCGGAGCCGCUCGAGCAUCAUCGUUGCACCACUGAGUGUAAGCAGACAGAUCAUCCCGGUAAACAGAAAGAGCAUCUGAGUAAGCGGAUACCUGCUGAUCAUAAGCAUCCAUCGCAACAUCAUCAAGGGCCUUGGCUGCAUCCCGAUCAGCCUGAGAAGCGUCGGCAGCAAGAACAGGCGGGACCGGUGGGAUAGGAGCCACAGGAGCAACAUGACAUGGCGGACAGGGGACCUCGCCAGAGAAAACGCCCCACAGGAGAAGACCGCGCAUGUGGAUGCACAUGAAACCCACAAACUCAGCAUAGUUGGUGUCAUCGAAGAUCACCGUGCACCGAGGGACAACCACAUAUCCCGAGGAAGACAUGGUGAGCCUUUUUUUGGUCAACUGCUACAGUGCGCCCGAUCUAGAUCAGGCAGACCCGCUCACGAGGGGAACGAAGCGGGGCUCGAGCAAAUCGAGCGGACAAGGUGGCCAAGCGACAGCUGAAGGCCACGACCAGGAGGAGAUCGCAGCUUGGGCUGCAGAUCCAGAUUGAGGGCCCAUCCAGGCGGGAAGCAGCACCAGGCAAGAGCGGCCGGGACACCGGGCGAGAGCUGCCGGGCUGGGGCGACGUCCAGGCAGAGGCGGGCGGUGGCCAGGUGCAGCAGCAGGGCGGCCAACCGGCAAAGCAGGAAGCAGGGGCGCCCGAUCGGGCGGAGUAGGACAAGGCCGCCUCGAGCGCCGACGGCUAGGGCGCAGCAGGAGCGGGCGCCGGAUCCAGCCGAUCCAGCCGGACGGAAGGAGUCGGGCUUGGCCAAGAGAGAGACGGCCGGUGACGUACGGGAAACAGCCGGAAUCGAGGUGAGCUAGGAGUGGCGCGCACGGAGUUGCAUCGUGCGGGAGAGCGAUGCUAACCUAACAUCUGAUACCAUGUUGGAUGAAUGAGCAACUAGUAUUCACUGAGGGUCAGAGGCCAGUACAUAUACAUGUGUGGCAAAGUGCAGAGAACCCCUUAUACAUUGAGGAUAUACAGACAAGAGACUAUACACAUCUAACAUGCGCUAACACAGGAAGAAGGAUAUAUCUGGUGCAGAAAGUAUCAGGGGCCACAAGAGCUUGAUGAAGAUUGUUGAUGGCGCGACAAAGACAAGUUAUGCAUAAACCUUGUAUAUUCUUUCUUUUUUGCGGGGUCAUAAAUCUUGGAUGUUCAAUCCAAUAAUUAAUUAGGGUACACUUAAGAGAUUUUAUAGAGUAGGGUGGGGGGGGGGGGGCAGUGGCCCCCUUUGGCCCAUGAAGCUCCGCCACUGCACCAAACCAUAUAUGCUCCCAAUUUGAAGAAAUUCAAAUUUGAACAUUCUGAAAAAAUCUAUAAAAAGUAUGGACGUUGGCAACACAUACGUAUACAAUCCCUAAAAAACUCAGAUCCAAAAUCUAAAUAUACGUUGAGGAAUAUAAAAGACAAAUCCAUCAUGGUUAGUGUAAAGCUAAGACACAAGCAAAAUGACAUAUUCAUACAUGAAUUUCUCCUUUUUGUUUCUUCAUGUGCGAAUUUUUGGGGGCUGUGCACGCUUGUCCUGUGAGCACACAUUCCCCUCCAAUGAAUUUUUAGAAACAAUUGUGUCGCGGCAUAUUUAGAGAUAUCUAGCUAUUGAAGACAAGGCUAAGUAAGAAUAACGAAUUGCACGUCAUUUUUUUUAUUGUCCUUUCUAAAUUACGUUACAGCCACAAGAUAGUCCUAUCAACAAUGACCCCGCGCAAAGAUGUUAAGUAAGACAUGCUCUAAGGACUGAUAUAAUUGGAUAUUUUUUUUCCAUGUCCGGUGAAACCAUGCAACGUACAACUAUGCAAAGGACAGGUUUUGGGUCUUCCCUGGCGGCGCCUCAACUGCUCCAAUGGGCAUAUAUAUGCCUAUAUAUGGUGCUUUGUUAAGUCCGUCGUCCGGUAGCACGACAUCGCUGACGCACCAAUUGAGGAAUCGAUGCAAAAAAAAAACAUUGAGGAACGGAAUAGGAAUAUGCGACGCGGUACUGUUUUGCCGGCCCUGAUCUUCCCUGUCGGUGCUGACUUUUGUCAUCUGUUCUUUGUAAAAAAUGUAACGCGGAUUAUCAGCCAAUUUCGCUACAGUUGUAGUAAGAUCUUAAAAGGCGUUUAACAUGAGCAGCAUUUCUCUGCCAUGUACUCUCUCCGUUCCCAAAAAUAUAAGUCUUUUUAAAGAUUUCAAUAAAUGACCACAUACUGUACAAAAUUAGUGAAUCUACAUUUUAAAAUAUGUCUAUAUACAUCCGUAUAUUGUAGUCCAUUUGAAUUGUCUAAAAAGACUUAUAUUUAGAAAGGGAGGCAGUACGUACUGUAGUAGCAAUGGCACUCAAAAAAUAGAUCAUAACAAACAAAACCUAGUAGCAAUGGCACUCCAAAAAUAGAUCAUAACAAACAAAACCGUCAAGCAUUUGAGCUUCACAUACAUAUAAGAGACUGAAAGCUUCAACCGCCAAACGAUACUGCUCAGGUACAGAGCAGCUAAUAGACAGUGGCCGGGGAAGAACACAAGGGGCUGGUGGAAAUCAUCAUAACAACAUGCAACAAGGAGCAAAGGAAAAUCAGCUCAAGAGAUUAUACAACCAUGGCUGGAACUCACAAACAUUACAACACGCACAAUUGCUAGCACAACAAUCAAAUACGUAUAUAUGUAAAUGAAAGCAAGAUCUUGCACAAAAGCAAACACAGCACAGUAAAAAUAACCACCGUGGGAUGCCAGAAAUAUAUCAUCUAAGUUUAACAUCUGUUACAUCACCACAACCAUCAUCAAAACCACAGUCUCAGUAGCACCACAUACAAACAACAAGAUAGUAAGGAAGACACAUAGGGAGAAAAAUACCGCGCCUCCCUUCACAGCAACAGCCAGCAGCAAAACAUGACCCAAAGUUUAGAGCUUGUCCUCGAAAUCGGAUAGGGGGGUCAUCUGCUCCUUGAGACCCUUCCUCUUGCGGAUCUCCGUCACGAGCGUCGCCGACUGGGUGCCGGGGUCCAAAGGAUCGGAGGCCAUGAUGUCCCAGUGGUCAAACACGCACUGGGGGAAGGCCUGGCCGGACGUCGCGGCCCUCAGGGUGCUCGAGAACCCGAAGGACUCGAUGACGGGCAGGUAGGCCUUGAUGUUGUAGAGUGGGGUACCUUGCCUCUGCAUCUCCUCGAACACGUGCCCUCUCUUCUGAUUCAGCACACCAUAGAUACCACCAAGUGCGUUCUCCGGGGCCUGGAUCUCAACCAGGUACACGGGCUCCAGCAGCCUUGGCUUGGCAGUGAGCUGAGAAGCGUAAAUGACCCUCCUCGCCGUUGGGAUGACCUGACCACCACCCCUGUGAAUAGCAUCAGUGUGGAGAACAACAUCACAGACCUCAUAGCAGAUGCCGCGCAUGUUCUCCUCACAUAGUGCUCCUUCUUUUGAUGCCCACUGGAACCCAGCCACAACAGAGUCCUUGAUUUCAUUCAGGUACUGCACUCCCUUACACAUGUCCACAACCAUGUUGGGGCCAGUCGUCUCAGGUCCAAAGCACCAAAUCUUCUUGGCGAGAUCCUUGUCCCAACCAAACUCCUCAGACAGGAUCUUGGAGCGCACCUUAGGAUCAUCACGCGGGCCAAUGCGGCCAUCAUCAAUAGCCUCAGCCAAUCCCUCCUCCAAUGGGCGAGCUUCCAUGUAAAGACGGUUAUGCUUGUUGGGGGACUUGCUCAUAACGGUACGGCAGGACUUCUCCAGAACAGUCUCACGGAAGGAGACGACAGGGGGGGAAACAAUGAUUUCAGCACCACCCAUGAAGUCAUCCUGCAGAUCCUUCAAGCAGAUUUCAAGAUGAAGCUCUCCGGCUCCAGCGAUGAUAUGCUCACCAGACUCUUCAAUGGUACAGAGAACCAUAGGAUCAGACUUGGCCAGACGCUUCAAACCCUCAACAAGCUUAGGAAGAUCAGAAGCCACCUUGCACUGAACAGCAACACGUACAACAGGGGACACAGAGAACUUCAUUGCCCUGAUUGGGCAGGCAUCAACUUCCUUCUCGUUUGUCAGGGUUGCAUUCUUGGUGAUGAACUGAUCCAAACCAACCAAAGCAACGGUGUUACCACAGGGAACAUCCUCAACAGACUCUUGCUUCUUUCCCAUCCAGAUAACAGUCCGCUGGACACUCUUCACAUAUAGAUCCUUCUUCUGGCCAGGAACAAAGUUGGGACCCAUGAUACGGACCUUCAUGCCAGUUGCGACCCUCCCGGCGAAAACACGUCCAAAGGCAAAGAAUCUACCCUUGUCAGAUGCUGGAAUCAUCUUGGAGACAUACAGCAUAAGAGGACCUUCAGGGUCACAGUUUCUGAUGGCAUUUGCAUAUAUGUCAUCAAGGGGGCCCUCGUACAAGUUCUCCACACGAUACCUCUGUGCCUUUGAAGGAGAGGGGAGGUGAAAUAUCAUCAUCUCAAGCAGAGCACGACUGGCAGGCAGCCAAGUUUGCAUCACACGCUUCAUGAGAGCCUUGCCCAUCAAGUCCUUCUCAUCAUUCUUCAUGGUCACACCAAGCUUCUUCAACAUAGGCCACAACUUAUCCUUCUGGUCAUUCAUGCAGGUUGCUAUGAUUUGCUUGAUUGGCUCAUAGCAGAACUGAACGAAACCUCUCUUGCAGGUAGCUGUCCCAGUGUUCUUGGAGGUCCAUUUCUUUGUGGCUGGGUCAAAGAAGUUCUCACCCCACAGCCUCUCCAUCAUCUUCACCUCAUCAACACCAAACUUGGAGGCAUACAUCUUAGCAAAGUUUGUAAGGGUGAAAGCCCACCCAUGCAAACCAGCAGAGAAUGCAACAGUACCCUUCUCUGGGUACACUUGGACAUCACCAAGGAGCACAUCUUCAUAUGUUGCCAUGAUGACAUUGGCAUUUUCGAUGACACGGGAGAAAGUCUGAUAUGCUUCCUCACCUUCAAACUGAAGCUCAAGGAAGCAUCUGUCCAUCUUGUUCACAGUAAGAACAGGCCUAAUCCUCUCACCAAGAGCUUGGCGCAGCACAGUUUCAGUCUGCACACAGACACCCUCAAUGCAGUCAACAACCACCAAAGCACCAUCAGUGAUACGAAGAGCAGCUGUGACUUCCGAAGAAAAGUCAACGUGGCCAGGUGAAUCAAUAAGGUUGAUCAGGUAUUCAUCUCCAUCCCUGUCGCCCUUGUACAUCUCAAGUGAUUCAGGAGUCAUCUGAUAGAAAAGAGAGAUACCCGUGGAUUUGAUUGUAAUACCACGCUCUGCCUCAUCUGCACGGGUAUCAGUCAUGCGAACAUCCCCAGCAACUUCCUGGGCGAUAAUCCCAGCAGCUGCCACAAGGGAAUCCGUAAGCGUAGACUUGCCUGCAAAUAUGUAAAUAAUAUGUGAGAACAAUGCACAAGCAUCUGGUUUGACAGUUGAACACAACCUAUAUGAAUAGAAAAUUGAACAUGUUAACUCAUACAGUAUAAGGCAGAAGUAGGACAGAGCAGUACAGUACUUUCAAACAAUCAAGAAACAAAAGAAGGUACAAAUAAGCUCAACAAGGUUUUUAGUAACAUGGUUAAGCAAAAUCUAGUGGGACAUUGCAAACAAAAUAUGAAGACAUCAAUAUUGAAGUAACUAAGUACAAUCAUGUAAAUUUAAGAUCCUAUGCAGUGUAAUACAUUCAGGGACAAUGUGAGAAUACACCAAACUGGGAGAUACUAGGCCUGGGAUAUUAUGUCAAUAGUACCAUUUAAGCUUGGUGAAGCAGAAAUCAAUCAUAUAAUAAGCAGUGGUGAAGCAGAAAUCAAUCAUAUAAUAAGCAGUAGUAGUAAACUCCAGGACACAAUAAGAUGGAUUGGUUUUAGGGAUGAAACUAAUUAUGGCCCACUUCUUAAAUUGACCCAUUUAAAUAGUCUCAGUAUUUCGAAUUAAAUAGAGUAAAAUUAAGAGCAGGCUACAAAAACAUUGGUUAACAAAGAUUCUACUGUAUGAACUCAAUAAUUAGAGACAACUGUCUGUUUAGGCACAUACCGUGGUCGACAUGAGCAAUAACAGACAUGUUACGAAUAUUAUUUUUCUUGUCCAUAAUUCCGCGGAGCUCCUCCGCUGUAAACUUCACCAUCUUGACUGGUUUUGGAUAUCACACUGGGAAUAUAGUUCCUGUUCAGAAUGGACCAAAAAUCAAGUAAUUAAAACCACAAUUGAAUAAUCAGAAGGCUCUUACUACAGUUGGGCACGCAUUAGUUUCAAGUGCAGUCAACCAAGCAUAUUAAAACUAACAUAUGGGAACCGAAGACCAAGUUCUGAAAACUUAAUUGUCCAAAGUGCACUAAAAAGGAAGCCAGAAAGCAACGAUGGCAACCAAUUUUGAGAGCACUCGACAUGACAGUGUGCGAAAGAAAGCACAAAACAGUAAGAAAGAUAAGAAAGAAAAGCAGUCUAUUAUGUAGAGUGUGCACAAGUAUGAAGCACAAUCAGGCAACGGAUAUCACUAGCUAAACCUGUAUAACUUAUGAGGAUCACAGAAAACUUCGCAGGAAUCAACCAUAUGUGAAUGGAAAAGAAGAGUAGGUCUGAAACAGAAUCGUGGUUUUAUGCAAAGUUGAUUUGUAACAGAAGGGUAGUUUUAUGCACACGUGCUGACUGUACUAGCAUGUACACUACCAGUGUAAACACUAGAAACAAUGGAAGCACAGAAGGUCAUAAUGUUGAGCUCUGAAAUAGGUGCGACCAACCAUGCAUGGGGAGCACUGAGAAGAAUACCAGAAGAUAGCCACAUAUGAUCAAUUUAACCAAAUGAAAGAGAUCAGGGAUAAAUUCACCCAUAAUACCUCAACUAUAAGUACAUAAAAACUGGCACACCCCGAUACAAGAGUCUCCCGUUCUUUCUUUUUUUUUGAAAUAAAUACAAGAGUCUCCCGUUCUAUAUACACAUAGUUAUAUUAAAUUAAGCAUGCCAAGCAAAGAUGUGCAUCACCAUUUCCUCCGCCCUGAACAUGAAGACAGAGAACAAAACCAACCAGGCUACGACAGGCAGGCAAGCAAGCGAGCAAAACCCUACAGCUUGAGCAUUCUAAGAACCCCGUGGACGAACAGCAGCGCAGAAAAAAAUCGCCGAAAAAGCUAGCAGAGCACCAGAUGAAACAGAUCGCCGUCUACCACGGCGGAGCGGGCAGAUCCACGGUAAACACGGCGGGAGGAACACCCUUAGCUACCACAGAAGCACAUCGGAGGCGACGAGCUUAUGUAUCUAGUGACGUCAGCGCAAAGUCGUCGCCAGGAACAAGCGAGCGGGACGAACCAAGCAGCAGAUCUAACGCAUCUAAGAGCAGCGAGACCGCAUAGGAAUAAUCCCGGCGACCACGAGCCCAGCAAAGGGGACCGGAGCGCAUCGAGCUAGCGAGGAGACUGAGCCGGUGAAAUCGGUCGGCUAGGUAGCAGCUAGCUGCCUAGCACGGGCGCGCCCGCCGACGGAGCAGCCGGAGGGCGGCGGAAGGGGAGAGGAGAGGGGAGGUCCGGCUCACCUUGCGGGUUCGCCGAGAGAUGAGAGGUGGGGAAGCGGCGGCGCUCCCGAUCCGUGAGAAUGGAAAGGGUUCAAGGAAGUGAGCACGCUAGGUCGCAUUUGCUGGCCGUUAUAUACGCUAUUUUUGUUGGUUCCGUGCGGGCCAAGAUGCGCGGGGAGUGGAACUUUCCAAGGCCGGCCACGCGAAAUGCGGCCCGCAAGUGAAGCCGGCCUGUCCGGCGUCCACUGUGGUGGAGUCCGGCCCAAAGGGGAUGAUGGCCAGGCGUGGUGAGAAUUUCGGAAGUUGUCGGAGCGAAAGCUCCGAAGCGCCAUCAAAUGGCGAGGAAGCUUUCGGAAAACCUCUAACCACCUAGGAGCCCAAUCUUCAAAAGUAACAAGUGUUGGGUUUGAUGAAAAAAUGUAUGUUGGGUCUUGCUCUCUCUAUCACCAAAGAAUCAACAGGUUUGGGCGCACAUUUUUCAGAAACCAUGCUCAGUUUAGACUUCAUUGAAAGAUGGGUUUAAAUAAAGCAACCACGAAGAUUUUGGAUGGAGUGGUAAUAUUUGAACCUUGAUGUGUGACACGAACACAUGGCAACUCCGAAUGUUUUUUAUGACAAAUGUAGUGACGCGGGGAUGGCAACUUCAUAAGUCAAGCAUGGCCACUUGCUUUUUGGAUGGUAAGUUUCGGUUUUUUCUGGGUUUCUUUUUUUCUUUCUAGAUGACAAUUUCAGCAGUUGUAAAAAACGUGAGGGCAAGAGUGCUUCGUGCCACAUGUGUGGCACUUAUUAUUUAGGUGACAUGUUGUUGGAAUCACGCUCAAACUAAGCUUCGUCCAAAGAUGGUCCAAAGAUGAGUGCGGCCAAUCAAAAUUAGUGUUAGCUCUACCACAUUAUAUCUUCCUUUUUAGUGGAGAAUUUGAUGGAGGAGCUGCAGCCCUAUUUCCCCGUAUUAUUUCUGUUAGCAAUUGAAGGUUUUGUCUUGUCUUUUGAAAAGUAUUGGAAUUUCAUAAAAGAAAAGAAAAAACAUCUAUGCAGCGGCCAAAACACCCUGACCAAGGCCAAUCAUCUCUUAUCGAUAUUUACGAACAUUGUGUCCAAAUUAGGAAACUAGACUAGGAUCACUUCAUGUAUACCUGUUUGGUUUGCAGCGUAAGGUUUUAACGCUUAUUCUUAGUAGUGCCACAACAUCUUAGGAAUGUGUUUGAUUUAUUGCCACACUUUUCUAGCUACAAGGUUCACAUGUCAUAGGCUCACUUUUUGCUUAAUCUUGCAACACUUAUAGUCACCAUUUUAUUAACCACAUUUUUUGUGACAGCCACACUUUGUCUAAGCUUAAUACUUCCUCCAUCACGGUUUAGAAGGCACAGUUAAAUUUGCGUACGUUUUCACAAUAAACAAGGUUUAGAGCGCAUUGCAUUUAUUUCUAGUAGCUAAUUACUACUCCGAUAUACUAUUUCUAUAUGCAUGCGUAGUGUGAAUGCUAUUUUUUAGCCCAUCCCACAACCAAUAGAUAACCACCUAGGUCCCAGAGAAUUUUCAAGCGCGUCUUCUAAACCAUGACGGAGGGAGUAGUGGUUAAGUUAGUCAUGAAAACAAGUCAUGAAACGGCAUCCUAUGUUUCAGCAAAAAAAACUAAAAGGUUGAAGCUUGCUUGCAAGUGUCAUAAUUACAUAGAGCCUAUGUGUAUAACUAUUAAGCACAUGUGCAUCCAGUAACAGUCAUAAGAAAUAUAGCAAACAAAUCUAUUAUAUGCCUAAAUUUACUGAACAACUUCACAACUCAAUUUUGCUACAAACCUGGAAUAAGAGAAGUUACUGAGCAUGAGAAUUAUGCGAAUAUUCUAUUAUGCCUACAAAGGUUCAAUCUGUAAUAUUCCAAAAACAUAAGUUCGGAUACUCUCAGCGUUAACAGAUGCUUCUACUACAGUAUUUCUCUUAGGUCCAAUUUUUUUCCGCUCAAACAGAUGUAUCUUAGCACACAGUAGGGAGCAAUUUCUCAUCAUCAGUGUGUCCACAAAAUUGUAGGGCAUGAAAUGGAGAAUUGUGUACUGUAUACAAACUGCAGCAUAAACAAGUGCAGUAAGUUUUUGAGCAUAGAUUACAACUGCCAAAAGAUGGAACACAUUUUGAUGGUCAUCAAAUCAGGAAGGUAAAAUGAGAUCGAAAAACUGCAAGCAGAGCUCUCAAGAUCAUGAAAAAUAUAGAGCAAGACUGGAGCAAUAAAGAACCAGGCAGAGCUCUCAAGAUCAACACAAAAGCAAACACAAGACGCCAACAAGAACUACCAAUGGAUAACAGAUACUUGUAUAAUCUAAGCUUUAACAUCGACAGACAUCAAAACGAAGUGCCAGUAUCACGACAGAUAUAUAAUCUAAGUUUUAACAUCGACAGACAUCAAAACAAAGUGCCAGUAUCACGACCGAUAGGAAUCCCAAUAGCAGUACAGCGACGACUCAAUAGACAGAUAAUAGUGCAGCUCUCUUAGCAGCAAAAGCAAACUAGACCAUGUAACAGAAGCAAAAGUUCAGAGCUUGUCCUCGAAAUCAGAUAGAGGGGUCAUCUGUUCCUUCAGGCCCUUGCGCUUGCGGAUCUCCGUGACAAGUGUGGCAGACUGGGAGCCGGCCUCCAAAGGAUCAGAAGACAUGAUGUCCCAAUGGUCGAACACACACUGGGGGAAAGCCUGGCCGGAUGUCGCCGCCCUGAGGGUACUUGAGAACCCGAACGACUCGAUGACCGGGAGGUAAGCCUUGAUGUUGUACAGCGGGGUACCAGGCCUCUGCAUCUCCUCAAACACAUGCCCUCUCUUCUGAUUCAGAACACCAUAGAUACCACCGAGUGCAUUCUCCGGGGCCUGGAUCUCAACCAGGUACACAGGCUCCAGCAGCCUUGGCUUAGCAGUGAGCUGAGAAGCGUAAAUGACCCUCCUGGCUGUUGGGAUGACCUGACCACCACCCCUGUGAAUAGCAUCAGUGUGCAGAACAACAUCACAGACCUCAAAGCAAAUGCCACGCAUGUUCUCCUCAGCCAGAGCACCUUCUUUCGAUGCCCACUGGAACCCUGCCACAACAGAGUCCUUGAUUUCAUUCAGAUACUGCACUCCCUUACACAUGUCCACAACCAUGUUGGGGCCAGUCGUCUCAGGUCCAAAGCACCAAAUCUUCUUGGCGAGAUCCUUGUCCCAACCAAACUCCUCAGACAGGAUCUUGGAGCGCACCUUAGGAUCAUCACGCGGGCCAAUGCGGCCAUCAUCAAUAGCCUCAGCCAAUCCCUCCUCCAAUGGGCGAGCUUCCAUGUAC